Molecule: ribosomal RNA, 492 nt
Filed under: uncultured bacterium
Lineage: Bacteria
Description: partial 16S ribosomal RNA
Rfam family: Bacterial small subunit ribosomal RNA
Source: RNAcentral
AGUGAACGCUGGCGGUAGGCCUAACACAUGCAAGUCGAACGGCAGCACAGUAAGAUCUUGCUCUUACGGGUGGCGAGUGGCGGACGGGUGAGGAAUACAUCGGAAUCUACUUUUUCGUGGGGGAUUACGUAGGGAAACUUACGCUAAUACCGCAUACGUCCUACGGGUGAAAGCAGGGGAUCUUCGGACCUUGCACGAUUGAAUGAGCCGAUGUCGGAUUAGCUAGUUGGCGGGGUAAAGGCCCACCAAGGCAACGAUCCGUAGCUGGUCUGAGAGGAUGAUCAGCCACACUGGAACUGAGACACGGUCCAGACUCCUACGGGAGGCAGCAGUGGGGAAUAUUGGACAAUGGGCGCAAGCCUGAUCCAGCCAUACCGCGUGAGUGAAGAAGGCCUUCGGGUUGUAAAGCCCUUUUGUUGGGAAAGAAAAGCAGCAGGUUAAUACCCCGCUGUUCUGACGGUACCCAAAGAAUAAGCACCGGCUAACUUCGUG